This 606-nucleotide ribosomal RNA is filed under the name uncultured fungus. RNAcentral's name for it is "eukaryotic LSU rRNA". It matches the Rfam family "Eukaryotic large subunit ribosomal RNA", at positions 23 to 641 of the family's 3401-position model. Lineage: Eukaryota; Fungi. The record is from RNAcentral.
ACCCGCUGAACUUAAGCAUAUCAAUAAGCGGAGGAAAAGAAACCAACAGGGAUUGCCUCAGUAACGGCGAGUGAAGCGGCAACAGCUCAAAUUUGAAAUCUGGCUCCUUUUGGGGUCCGAGUUGUACUUUGCAGAGGGUGGUUCGGCGUCGGCUCCCGUCUAAGUUCCUUGGAACGGGACGUCAGAGAGGGUGAGAACCCCGUACGCGAUGGGCGGCCGGUCGCCGUGUGAACCCCCUUCGACGAGUCGAGUUGUUUGGGAAUGCAGCUCUAAAUGGGAGGUAUAUUUCUUCUAAAGCUAAAUACUGGCCAGAGACCGAUAGCGCACAAGUAGAGUGAUCGAAAGAUGAAAAGCACUUUGGAAAGAGAGUCAAACAGCACGUGAAAUUGUUGAAAGGGAAGCGCUUGCAGCCAGACUUGGCUGCCGUCGUUCAUCGGGGGCCCGUCCCCCGUGCACUCGACGGCAGGCAGGCCAGCAUCAGUUGGGGCGGCUGGAGAAAGGCCCUGGGAAUGUAGCUCCCUCCGGGGAGUGUUAUAGCCCAGGGCGCCAUACAGCCAGUCCCGACUGAGGUCCGCGCUUCGGCUAGGAUGCUGGCGUAAUGGCCGC